Molecule: unclassified non-coding RNA, 314 nt
Organism: Dipodomys ordii (Ord's kangaroo rat)
Lineage: Eukaryota; Metazoa; Chordata; Mammalia; Rodentia; Heteromyidae
Gene: 7SK
Rfam family: 7SK RNA
About the family: 7SK was discovered as an abundant small nuclear RNA in the mid-70s but a possible function has only recently been suggested. Two independent studies have found that 7SK RNA binds the CDK9/cyclin T complex (known as elongation factor P-TEFb).
Source: Ensembl
GGAUGUGAGGGCAAUCUGGCUGUGACAUCUGUCACCCCAUUGAUAGCCAGGGUUGAUUCGGCUGAUCUGGCUGGUUAGGCGGGUGUCCCUUCCUCCCUCACGGCUCCAUGUGCAUCCUUCCUGAAGCUGCGCGCUCGGUGGAAGAGGACGACCAUCCCUGAUACAGGAGGACCGGUCUUCGGUCAAGAGUAUACGAAUAGCUGUGCUCCCCUGCUAGAACCUCCAAACAAGCUCUCAAGGUCCAUAAAGUUAGACCCUUCUUUCAUACCUUAUAACAAAAUUAAUACCAAGUAGAUCAACAGUUAUUUGUGUUU